Molecule: long non-coding RNA, 358 nt
Organism: Panicum virgatum (switchgrass)
Lineage: Eukaryota; Viridiplantae; Streptophyta; Magnoliopsida; Poales; Poaceae
Exons: 3
Source: RefSeq, a predicted model, not a curated record
CGACCUCCCGCGACACCGCGCACCUUGUCGUCGUCCAGGCCCUGCGGCCGCGCGCCUCCUCGCCUCGUCCAGUCCGCGCUGCCACCCCUCCUCGUCCCCAUCGACGCCCCGGCCAAGAACAAAUCAUCAAUUCUGAUCGUGCUUGGCUGUUUAUAGCUCUGACCUUCCACCAACUGACAAGCAACAAGUCAAGUGAUCUGUUCCUGGUUUACCAAUUGUUGGCAAUCUUCUUCAGUUGAAAGAAAAGAAACCCCACCAAACCUUUACAAAAUGGGCUGAAAUUUAUGGGCCAAUUUACACUAUAAAGACAGGUGCUUCUUCUGUAGUUGUGCUCAAUUCAACUGAAGUAGCCAAGGAG